UACGAAGGUGGCUAGCGUUGCUCGGAAUCACUGGGCGUAAAGCGCACGUAGGCGGAUUGCUAAGUCAGGGGUGAAAUCCUGGAGCUCAACUCCAGAACUGCCUUUGAUACUGGCGAUCUCGAGUCCGGGAGAGGUGAGUGGAACUGCGAGUGUAGAGGUGAAAUUCGUAGAUAUUCGCAAGAACACCAGUGGCGAAGGCGACUUACUGGUCCAUGACUGACGCUGAGGCUCGAAAGCGUGGGGAGCAAACAGG
RNAcentral lists this ribosomal RNA (253 nucleotides) under uncultured bacterium. Its description in RNAcentral is "partial 16S ribosomal RNA". It matches the Rfam family "Bacterial small subunit ribosomal RNA", at positions 524 to 776 of the family's 1533-position model. The record is from RNAcentral.